This 253-nucleotide ribosomal RNA is filed under the name uncultured bacterium. Its description in RNAcentral is "partial 16S ribosomal RNA". It matches the Rfam family "Bacterial small subunit ribosomal RNA", at positions 524 to 776 of the family's 1533-position model. The record is from RNAcentral.
UACAGAGGGGGCAAGCGUUGUUCGGAAUUACUGGGCGUAAAGGGCGCGUAGGCGGCCUUCUAAGUCGAACGUGAAAUCCCCGGGCUCAACCCGGGAACUGCGUCCGAUACUGGAAGGCUUGAAUCCGGGAGAGGGAUGUGGAAUUCCAGGUGUAGCGGUGAAAUGCGUAGAUAUCUGGAGGAGCACCGGUGGCGAAGGCGACAUCCUGGACCGGUACUGACGCUGAGGCGCGAAAGCCAGGGGAGCAAACGGG